GAACGCGAAGAACCUUACCAGGUCUUGACAUUGAUGGACAGAACCAGAGAUGGUUCCUCUUCUUCGGAAGCCAGAAAACAGGUGGUGCACGGUUGUUGUCAGCUCGUGUCGUGAGAUGUUGGGUUAAGUCCCGCAACGAGCGCAACCCCUAUCUUAUGUUGCCAGCACUUCGGGUGGGAACUCAUGAGAGACUGCCGCAGACAAUGCGGAGGAAGGCGGGGAUGACGUCAAAUCAUCAUGCCCCUUAUGACCUGGGCUACACACGUACUACAAUGGGAGUUAAUAGACGGAAGCGAAACCGCGAGGUGGAGCAAACCCGAGAAACACUCUCUCAGUUCGGAUCGUAGGCUGCAACUCGCCUACGUGAAGUCGGAAUCGCUAGUAAUCGCAGGUCAGCAUACUGCGGUGAAUACGUUCCCGGGUCUUGUACACACC
RNAcentral lists this ribosomal RNA (435 nucleotides) under uncultured bacterium. RNAcentral's name for it is "bacterial SSU rRNA". It matches the Rfam family "Bacterial small subunit ribosomal RNA", at positions 957 to 1391 of the family's 1533-position model. The record is from RNAcentral.